AUUGAACGCUGGCGGCAGGCCUAACACAUGCAAGUCGAACGAGUGGCGGACGGGUGAGUAAUGUCUGGGAAACUGCCUGAUGGAGGGGGAUAACUACUGGAAACGUUAGCUAAUACCGCAUACCAUCGGAUGAACCCAGAUAGGCUUGGCUAGUAGGUGGGGGAACGGCUCACCUAGGCGACAAUCCCUAGCUGGUCUGAGAGGAUGACCAGCAACACUGGAACUGAGACACGGUCCAGACUCCUACGGGAGUCAGCAGUGGGUACUAUUGCACAAUGGGCGCAAGCCUGAUGCAGCCAUGCCGCGUGUAUGACGAAGGCCUUCGGGUUGUAAAGUAAUUUCAGCGGGGAGGCGUUACCUGCACAAGAAGCACCGGCUAACUCCGUGCCAGCAGCCGCGGUAAUAC
This 406-nucleotide ribosomal RNA is filed under the name uncultured bacterium. RNAcentral describes it as "partial 16S ribosomal RNA". It matches the Rfam family "Bacterial small subunit ribosomal RNA", at positions 30 to 526 of the family's 1533-position model. The record is from RNAcentral.